CUUGCAAGGAAGUUGAAUAUACAUGGGAGAAGAGAGAGAGAGAGAGUAGGAGCUCACAUCAUGGUCGAAGAUGUUAGGCUAUUGAGAGAGAUAGAGAGAGAGCUGACAUCAUGGUCAAAGAUGUUAGGCCAUUCUCCUUGGCUGCUUCUUCGUUGGGCGGCAUAAAGGAGUUGCAUUUCGGCGAAGGACGUCACAAUUAAGCAUGAUUGGGGGUAUGUAUAUCUACUUUUCUUGCAAAACAAAUAAUAAUGGAAGCUCCUCCACAUCAUCAUCAUCAUCAUCGUCAUCUUAGGUAGGUACUUUGUUUACAUGUUGUUUGAUUCUGACCUUUCUGAAAAUAAACAAGAAGAUAUAUAUGGUGUGUAAAACAAACCACAGAGCCAAUUUCCUUGGUUUUUUAUAAUAAUAAUUCAGUAAUAAUAAGUAGCACCUUUCCAUGUUAUUAGUAGGUACUGGAUAGAGUAAACCAAAAACACAUGCUGGUUCACUUCCAAAACUGAAACUCUCGCACAAGAAAACAUCCUGCCUAGCCUAGCUCCCUCCUUAUUAAUGCCGAUCAUGAUAAAUCCGUGAUCUGAGGAUGAAAUCACAAAUAAAAAUCGCAUGAAUUGAUGUUAAAGCAUUUAAUUUUACAACAACAUGAUCACAAAAUAUGCUGUACUAGCUCACUGAGUCUAGCUACUGUCUAUAUAUACUACAGAAUUACUAAAAAAACAGAGCAAAUAAGUAGGAACCAGUCCUUUGUAUAUUUCAGUUCGAUCUUAGUUGCAGAUGGCCGAUGGCUGGCUGGCAUAACAAGGGGAGUGGCAGUCGCAAUCGCAGCGAUGGGGCCAAUGCUAAUGGUGGUGGUGGCGGCAAUGGCAGCCGCCGCGGCCACACCCGGCGGGCUUUCCCUUGGGUCCAUCGUCACCUGCUCUGAACCAUGUGGAGACGGGCACGUCCUUCAGGUAGUUGGACGCGGCCAGGGCGACGGCCGCGGCAAUGGAGACGGCCCCCGACGCGCGGGCCCGCUGGCAGAACUCGCCGGCGGCCUUGCAGACGCCGGCCACCCUGCGGCCGCAGGUGCCGAAGUCGUCCACCGAGAAGGACAGCGCCGAGGACGAGUAGAGCAGCACCUGCGCGGCGGUGUCGACGAGCUCGGACAGAGACUUGAAGACCUUGCCCUUGUCCGCCUUGCCGGACGCCGUCAGCCACGCCGCCAACGCCUGUAGCGCCGCCGAUACCACAUUGGCGACUAGGGAAUAACUGCACCGUCACCGCGGCAUAGAGUUACAUACCCAUGCAUGAUUUGGAUUUGCUCGAUCAGCAGUGUGGUGUCAUGGCCAUGGGUGCCUCAUGCAUGCGAGGAAGAAGAGUUGAUGCAUGGAUACGUACGGUGCGGCCGCGUUAUACGUACCUAAGGGAGCUGUAGUCUCUGUAGGAGACCGGCUGCUGGCUCGCCGUCGCCGGAGAGCAGCCGGUGCAGGAGCGCUGCGAGGCGGACGCCAUCAUGACCGCCGACGCCACCGACAGAGCUACGGUGGCGAUGCGGAGGGCGAGGCAGGCCGCAUUUGACGACGACCCGUCGGACUUGCCGCCACCAUCACCAGCAGCAGCCAUGGUUCAGAGAAACCGACGAGCGAUAGCACAGCUAGCAUCGAUCAUGUGGAUCAAACGCAUGGAUAUACAAAGCUAGUUCGUUGGACCUAACCAUAAAUCAUGCACAGCGGCAAAGAAGGAACAUCUACUUCAUAACUUCUUCCCCAUUAUGGAGCUAGCAUUAUGGAUUUCACCUCUAAUUAUUUUAUGUUAGCGAAUGAUUCUGACAGCAGUUACCUACUACUACUAGCAGGCUACACAUUUAAUCUGUAUUAUAGAUAUAUAUAGAAUAUAUAUACACAAACAAAGUGGAUAAUUGCAUGC
This is a long non-coding RNA of Zea mays, 1902 nucleotides long. RefSeq lists it as uncharacterized. NCBI's taxonomy places the organism in Eukaryota, Viridiplantae, Streptophyta, Magnoliopsida, Poales, Poaceae. The transcript has 2 exons. The record is from RefSeq and is a predicted model, not a curated record.